AUGUCUGGGAUAUUAGGAACAAGAGAAGGUGGUGAGGUUGAGAUCCAACGAGUAAGAGAAGGGCCUACCACAAAAGAAAUUUUCAUGGUGAGGAAAAUGCUAGGCCUAGAUCUUAACCACAAAGAGGUUAAAACCCCAGAUCUAUUGCAAGUGUUGUGUGAACAACAUCCAGAUAAGUUCACCAAACAAGGGUCAAUCAGGUUGAAACUUGCAUUUUCUAUGCUAGUACUUUCAGUGUUCUACAGUCCAAGAGACAAAAGAGGAUAUGUGCCAAAGGACGCAUAUCUGCUGGCAUAUGCUCCAGAAAACCUUGACAAAUUAAACUUGACAAAAUAUGGAGUAGCUGAGCUUCUUGAUGGGGCAGCUCGAGUUCAACAGUAUGCCAGUCCUCACGCGAGGCCUGGAAUCACUAUCUUUGGUUGUCAUUACUAUCUUCAGGUCUUGUAUUUUAAUUCAGUUGAUGCAGGGUGUCAAAACGUUGAUCCCACAGUCUGGCCUAGGAUAUGUGAAUACAAUGCACCAAAGAUUUUUGCACUGGUCGAGAAGGACACCAUGAACUGUACAUCAGAAAGAGUUUUUGGCAUGCUGAGGCCUGAUGUGAAAGAGCAUGUAGCGAAUCUCAAGAGACAGAAGCGAACGUCGAGCGAAUCAUAG
This 654-nucleotide ribosomal RNA is filed under the name Triticum aestivum (bread wheat). Its description in RNAcentral is "partial small subunit ribosomal RNA". Lineage: Eukaryota; Viridiplantae; Streptophyta; Magnoliopsida; Poales; Poaceae. The record is from RNAcentral.